UGGGGAAUAUUGCACAAUGGGCGCAAGCCUGAUGCAGCCAUGCCGCGUGUAUGAAGAAGGCCUUCGGGUUGUAAAGUACUUUCAGCGGGGAGGAAGGCGAUAAGGUUAAUAACCUUGUCGAUUGACGUUACCCGCAGAAGAAGCACCGGCUAACCCCGUGCCAGCAGCCGCGGUAAUACGGAGGGUGCAAGCGUUAAUCGGAAUUACUGGGCGUAAAGCGCACGCAGGCGGUCUGUCAAGUCGGAUGUGAAAUCCCCGGGCUCAACGUGGGAACUGCAUUCGAAACUGGCAGGCUAGAGUCUUGUAGAGGGGGGUAGAAUUCCAGGUGUAGCGGUGAAAUGCGUAGAGAUCUGGAGGAAUACCGGUGGCGAAGGCGGCCCCCUGGACAAAGACUGACGCUCAGGUGCGAAAGCGUGGGGAGCAAACA
This 427-nucleotide ribosomal RNA is filed under the name uncultured bacterium. Its description in RNAcentral is "partial 16S ribosomal RNA". It matches the Rfam family "Bacterial small subunit ribosomal RNA", at positions 355 to 774 of the family's 1533-position model. The record is from RNAcentral.